This 483-nucleotide ribosomal RNA is filed under the name uncultured bacterium. RNAcentral's name for it is "partial 16S ribosomal RNA". It matches the Rfam family "Bacterial small subunit ribosomal RNA", at positions 30 to 507 of the family's 1533-position model. The record is from RNAcentral.
UUGAACGCUGGCGGCAGGCCUAACACAUGCAAGUCGAGCGGAUGAAGGGAGCUUGCUCCUGGAUUCAGCGGCGGACGGGUGAGUAAUGCCUAGGAAUCUGCCUGGUAGUGGGGGAUAACGUCCGGAAACGGGCGCUAAUACCGCAUACGUCCUGAGGGAGAAAGUGGGGGAUCUUCGGACCUCACGCUAUCAGAUGAGCCUAGGUCGGAUUAGCUAGUUGGUGGGGUAAAGGCCUACCAAGGCGACGAUCCGUAACUGGUCUGAGAGGAUGAUCAGUCACACUGGAACUGAGACACGGUCCAGACUCCUACGGGAGGCAGCUGUGGGGAAUAUUGGACAAUGGGCGAAAGCCUGAUCCAGCCAUGCCGCGUGUGUGAAGAAGGUCUUCGGAUUGUAAAGCACUUUAAGUUGGGAGGAAGGGCAGUAAGUUAAUACCUUGCUGUUUUGACGUUACCAACAGAAUAAGCACCGGCUAACUUCGUG